Long non-coding RNA from Phragmites australis (common reed), 2056 nucleotides. RefSeq lists it as uncharacterized. The transcript is spliced from 3 exons. NCBI's taxonomy places the organism in Eukaryota, Viridiplantae, Streptophyta, Magnoliopsida, Poales, Poaceae. The record is from RefSeq and is a predicted model, not a curated record.
ACCUCCUAUUUUCCUAAUCUUUGUCCAACUCACAUCUGGGGCGAAUGCGACACGACAAAAACAUUUCACCAGAUGGUGCAUCACGCCCUCUUAUUAAUACAAGUGGUGACGCUUUGGACAAAGAAAAAGCUCCCCGUUCAUAUUGAAAAAUGUAGGGGAAAGAAGCAGCAACAGCCCAUGAAGAAAUCAUAAAGAGAACCAGGGGUGCAGGCAUCUUAUUACGGCAUCUCUUUGUCUCUUCGUUGGAGCCUUGGAAAAGCUUCUUCUUCCCCCACCUCUACUGCUUCUUCUAUCUAUCCAUCCACUGCCACCAUAUAUAUUAUCCUCUUGAGCGACCGAUGGAAAAGCAGGCAUCUGUUUUGUCAGGCUUCUUGCCAAGUAGUGCUCCAUCCAACUAAAGGUUUGGAGAACAUCAAAACAAUAGAGAAUAGAACUGAAAUGGGCCAUAAGAAGAGCAAUCAUCACAAAGGAAGAGGUGAAGCAGCUGAUGAGAAGGACUACCUGUUCCUGGCUCGCUGCCCUUGCUACGUGCUCGGCUCUGUCAUUAGAGGGAUUGGGAGGUGCCUCUUUGUGGCUUGCUACCCCGUGAUACAAUGUUGCAGACUUGACGAGUGCAGGCACCACCACACCAGCCACCUCAGCCACUUCAGAUGAUACAUCCACACAUCCAUGAAGUACCUCUAUUACUUGAUCAUCAGUCUUUCCCCUUUCUUUUUCACCACAAGUAGGGUCAGCAAUCAAUCAUGCCAACUUCUAAAGAAGAAUUGUUCAUAUCUUAUACGAGUAUGUGGUGUUCUUCAUCUUUUUCCAGUAGUCUUCAGUAGAGAAGAAAGACCUGCCUGCAUUACCUCAGCAGAUGAUAGAAGAGUAAAGGUGAAGAAAAUUGCAUGCUAAACGGCUAUUGGUCUCUUGAAAGUUAUUCAUAAAGUGGUUGGUGCCAGUGUUUUCUGAUUGUUUUUCUCAAGUGGCUCAGAGAAAAAUAAUUUCUUCCAAUUGAGCCUUUAGGCGUCCCCUUAUUUUUUCCCCAUUUCUGAUUUUUUUUUUUCAAGUUUCUCUCUUGAUGCUCUUGAUGGAUUUGCAUAGGUGCCUAGAUUGUGGUGACAUUAUUAUAAACUCGCAAAUAGAUUAGCUAUAAUCGUUUUUUAGCUCAUAAACAUAUGUCCUAGUCAACAAAAGAAGCGUUCAUGUCUUGUGCAGUUGGCCGGUUCAUAGUUAAGUAGGUGAGGGCGUCACGCAACAGAAGAGAUGAAUCAUUACUUUGAUAUGAGCUUCCUUAAAUAAUCUAGUUGCUUACAGGUAUGCAUUUGUGUUAAGCUGUUAUUGGACUGCUAAUUGGGCAUUAAUGACCUGCAUAGCCUAAUCAAAAUCAUGAGAAUAUUGAUUCAUUCAUAGAUGAUCAGUACAGCAGAGGCAUGCUCAUCAAGUCAUCAGUAUAACGAAAUGGAAAUGAGUGAAGUCAAUUUCUGCCUUUAAUUCUUCAGAGCCUUGCGGAUGGUUGUUAUAAAUUGACAUAUCCUUAUACUUCAUCCUCUACAACAGAAAAUUUGAAACAUUUCUUUCCAAAAAUAGAGAAAAUCGAGCAGCUAUUAUGUUUGGAUCAACCAAGGAAGCCACUCAUUGGUUGUCAUUUGCCUGAUGUCUACCUUGAUGUGUAUAUCUGCGCCUAUUAUUUGGGCAAGCUUUCAGUGACCUUCUUGCAAGGAAUGUAUACCGACGUUGGUAGCCGGUAGGUCAACGACGGUCAUGGCAGCCUCCGCAGCAACAGUAAUGGUAUAUAGUAAAGCUUGGGAAGCAAUAGGAGCACCAAUUCAAUGGCAGCACUGGCGGAGCCCAGGCCAAACUAGGCUCCGGCCCCCUUAGCUCAGUAAUUUUUUUGUGAAGCGGAGCCCAAACUUGCUAUGCAUCGAUCCAGCUUACCGCGUAUUGACCCAACUUGCUAUGUUUCAAGCGUAAACUUGCAGAGCAGAGCUCAGCUGCAAGUUGCUACGCAUCCACUAGACUGCAUCACGGCUCUGCGUUGCUACUGUAGCAGUUGGCCCCCUUCCAUUUGGCCCCA